GGGCCGUUAGCUCAGCGGAAGAGCACCUGCCUUUUAAGCAGGGUGUCGUGGGUCCGAAUCCCACACGGCUCACUA
Molecule: transfer RNA, 75 nt
Filed under: Anaerolineae bacterium
Lineage: Bacteria; Bacillati; Chloroflexota; Anaerolineae
Description: tRNA-Lys
Rfam family: tRNA
About the family: Transfer RNA (tRNA) molecules are approximately 80 nucleotides in length. Their secondary structure includes four short double-helical elements and three loops (D, anti-codon, and T loops).
Source: RNAcentral